Rhinopithecus bieti (black snub-nosed monkey) is the source of this 142-nucleotide small nuclear RNA. Its record names the gene U1. It matches the Rfam family "U1 spliceosomal RNA". From Rfam's summary of the family: U1 is a small nuclear RNA (snRNA) component of the spliceosome (involved in pre-mRNA splicing). Its 5' end forms complementary base pairs with the 5' splice junction, thus defining the 5' donor site of an intron. There are significant differences in sequence and secondary structure between metazoan and yeast U1 snRNAs, the latter being much longer (568 nucleotides as compared to 164 nucleotides in human). The record is from Ensembl. Lineage: Eukaryota; Metazoa; Chordata; Mammalia; Primates; Cercopithecidae.
CCACUUACCUGGCAGGGGAGAGACCGUGGUCACGAAGGGGGUUCUCCCAGAGUGAAGCUUCAUCGCGCUCUCGAGUUGCUGAUCCCUGUGAUUUCCUCAAUGUGGGAAACGGUGUUUGUGCUGGAAGAGGGCUGCGCUCUUU